GGGCGAUGGUGGAAGGUUUAAUGGGACCAGUUUCUGGAACAUUCGGGACUGCGGCACCUUACGGCCGACCGAGAUUUGGGUCUGCGCAGGCGACGAUGGGUGGUCCGAUGGGCUUCAGGACUUGAUGGCGUAACCCCCGUCUUCCCCCACGUACGUAUUUGCUGGGAUCGGGGGCGAUGUCUCUGCGUAUGUGGGUGCUCUGUCUUUCUCACCUUCUUUCUUGCUUUUUGCUAUUUUUUUUUUUUUCUGAGGGAGGGGUUUUUUCCACUUUAAUUUCUUUUCCCUUAGUGUCAGCUGCUCAAGCCUGACCGAGGUAGAGGAAAGAGGAGCAGGCCGUCCCUGGCGUCCCACCUGACCUCCCAGCCUCUACCCCCAUUUCCUUCUGUCGGGCAGACAGACAGACAGGCUGGUUUUCCAAGUUGUUUGGGUAUCAGUGUCUGUCCGUCCGUAUGGUUCUCAGGUAGAAGGUACGGAGUGAGGAGGAGAAGUGUUGAGAGGAAGGCGAGAGGGGCAGCUUUCUAGGGGUUGCCUUGUUGAAACAUUCGGCCCUGGGAAUCUGGGGCUGUUGGGGAGCAGGUGGGCAGGAUGGGGCGUGGGCUGCGAGAAGUGGGGUAAAGCUGGUAGGUUUGUCACUGCGUAGUUGGGGAAAGUGGGGAAUGGUGACGCAGUCACUGUUGGAUCUUGUUAGGGGCUCUGGGGGGACAGGUAGUGAGGGUCCCAGGAUCUGUAGGGCCAGCUGAGAGGGGUUGAGGAUGAGCUGAGAAGGGAAGCUAGCAUUUAGAGAUUAAAUGUCAUCCUUUUGGCGUUGGAAAGUUGUUUACCUUGUGCUCUCUGUGUCUCCAUGUUGGCACCCUUCCAGUUCACAUGUGAUGGCCUUCCUUGUACUGCUGCAUCAUUAACUAAGUGACUGAGCUGGCCUUCCAUUGGCCAGGGGAGGGCUCUCACUCCAGACACUUCCUCUGAUUGGUGGGUGGACCAAUGGCAGGUGAAAACCUUUUUUUGAUUGGCUGAGGGAAGGGUAUCAAAUCUGAAUUUGCAUUUCACUUGCUUAAAGGGGAGGGGGGGGGAAGCCCAGCAGCUUUCUAAAAUCUGUUUAGGGGUGUGCGUAUGCUCCUGUGUCUGUGCCUGCUUCUGACUGACCAGUUGAAGCCUCUUCCUGUGCCUUUUUAACUUCAUGCACUGUAAGGGAGAGGAGCUGAGGGCUCCCCAAACUUUUGUUUUGGAGGGCCAGGGGUUGGGAAGAUGGGCACGCAGAAGGUUGACCAAACUGGAAGAAAAUACUCGUUCUUUAGUGGGAAUUUUCCGAUCAGCCACACCUCAGCGUUGCGGCAAAAUAAAUCUUGGCUCCCCUGGAAACGCAUGGGCAAGGUAGGGCAGAGCUGCUACUGCUGCUGUUGCCGCCACCCUGGGCUUCCUGCUGACUCCGGGCUCCUCCCCGGGGACAGGAGAUUUGCAUUGACGUCCCAGGCUGUCCAGAGCUGAGCCCAUUAUGGGAAGGACCUGCCUUCUGGAAGCUGCUGCUCCCCGGUGCUUGGAAAGUGAUACUCUCCACGCCUCCUCUCCACUGCACCCACCUGCGGCAGUCCCACCGUCUUCCGUGGACCUCUCCUGAUUACCUUCACAAGAAGCAGCCCUCCUCCCAUCCGGCCAGACUCCCAUACGCUCCAUGCUUCUUUUGUGCUACUGUAGAUGUGCUGUGGUUCUUCGUGUAUAAGUCUUAUGUCACCUAUUAGAUUGUGAGCCCCAGGAAGCUAGGGAAAAGAAGGGAAACAUGUACCUGUGUGGUGCUUUCUGUUUGCCAGGUACCACAUCCGUCUGGUUCACGGCGGUUAUUUCGUUUAUUUCUCACCUCAACCCUGCGAGGAGAGUCCCAUGGCCGGUAAGUGUGUUGAUCGUGAUUAGAACCCUGGUCUGUCAAAGCCUUUGCAUUUUUCUUCUCUCAGUCUUCAGUGUCUGCAGAAUGCCGCAUACGAAGUAGAUCCCCAAAAUGUGUCUAUUUAAGGAGUUUUGUGAGUCCCUGAUGUUCUGUGAGAGUUUGGGUGGCUCAUCCUCCUGCGCCCAAGGUCUGGGUCACUUGGCUCUUCCAUGCCACCCUCCCUGCUGCCUCAUUAACUUUCUCCUCUUUCUUUGAGGCUAGGUUCACCCAAGACAAUGGGGAUUUUUUGUAGCUGAAAUUGAUGGACUAACAAACCUCAGUUUUCCUAGUCUCCUUCCUCUCGAAAGAGGAGGCAGAGGUGGGAUAGGUUGUAGCCUCUUCAGAGCAGGAUAAGCUCCGGAAUCCAGAGAUCAGUGGAGACCGUAGAAGCAGAGACAUGGCGCUUGGGCAGACCUAGGUUUGCAUCUUGACUCUGCCUCAUUUUAGCUGGGUGGUUUUAGACAAGUUACUUGAUUUUUCUAAGUCUUGGUGUUUUCGGUCAGUGAGAUGGAGCCUCUAUACCUGCUACACAGAAAUGCCUAAUAUAUUGCCAAGCAGAUAGGUUCCCGAGAGAGAGUGAUGCAGCUCCAUUCCCCCUGCCCAGUUGUCUAGUGGGGAUUUAAGAAAGGCACAUAGCGGGUGGCUCGAGAAGAACUGGGGGAGAAGGGAGCUUACGUGCAUUCAGUGGUAUCAUAAGCAGGGGCAGGGGAGGAGGUAACCCGGCAGUAUGCACCUGAAGCCUGUGGGGUAGUGCCUUUCCCCCACCUGGAGUAAAUACCCUCUUUUGCAUUAGGAACUUUUGCAUCAGGAAAACACCAUGGAAACGCCAUGAGCAUUGGUGGUGGCGGAGUGAGGGUUAAACAGUGAGCCUUCCUGGGAUCCUUUUGAUGCCAGGUUAGUUUCCCUUCUUUCCAAACGCAGCAGUGGCUGCCUGCUUCCUGAUGCUGUUGCAUCCCAUGGGAGGGGAGUCGGGCACCCUGAAGCCCCCCGUCACCAGUUCCGGGGCUGCAGAGCAGAGAGUGACGACAGCCCGUGAGUCGUCAGCCGACGGCAGCGGGGACCCUGGUGACGGCUGCUUUGUUGUUUUUUUCCUCUUCGGAUGAUGACUCAGUGUGUCGGGAGCCUGGAGAUGGAGCGCUCAGCCGAGUGGCCAGGACGUUCUGUCAACAUGAAAGCAGCAAAAACAGUUUGUCGGGGCUCAGCGCUGACCCCGGGCUGGGGUCAUUUUCAGGAAGGGCUUGGCACAAGAAAGACCACCGCCAGGCACGGGAUUGGGGGUGACGUCGGAUAACUCAAUAGGACCCUAUAGACCCUUGAAUUUUAGAAUCUGAAAAGAAAAUCAGCUGUUUGUGUUUUAUUAGAUGAGCUUGGCAAACAGGAUCACUUCUUGAACUCCUCUCACUGGUCCCCAACGAGAGACAUCUUCCCAGGUUCAGAAAACCCUUUGGGAUUUCUCGAUUGUGGCUUGUUGCCUUGGAUGGAGGGCAGGUCCCUUCUAGGGGGCAGGGGUGGGCCUGGCAGUCCUAGUGCCCGUUAUGGGGAUAUGGAGUCGUAGGUUUCCUCUGCUGGCAUCACGUGAAGGUGGUGGAUCCACAGCACAGGCCUCGAGAUGAAGACCAGCUCUUGGGCAGCCCACUUCAGCCUCUCCUUUCCUUAUUAUCUCAAAUCAAAGUCUUAUCUUCUCCCCUUCAUCUUCCUCAUUUCCUUCUUAGGCGCAGUAGUGGGCCUGAAGCCCUUGACCUUUGCGGCUGUGUGUGUGUCAUCAUGGCGGCUCAGGGUUCUAGACUUUUCUUGAAUCUGCAGCAUUGCGCUUUGUGCGCGUGACACCCCCCCCCCCCCGCUCCGCCCCGCCCACCCGGCCCCGCCCCACCAGGCCUUCUUCGGAGCAAGAGAGAACAUGGGCCUCCAUCGCCACUGAAUCUCAGCCAAACCGUCAUCCCCAGCAUCUGGCCUCCCUCCUCUCCUCCCCCGCUUUCGGCCGGCGUCUGGGGUGGAGGAGCAAACAACUUGUGGGAGGAGAUGGAGGGACAGCCUGGCCUGGAGCUCUCUGCCUCCCUUCCUCGUGUGCCAUUUUUCAGCCUCACGCUUCCUGUGGAUGGAUGAUGCCAGCACUGACAUUUGUCGCUGAGCACUUCCUCUCCCCGAGGACUUCCCCGUGCGACUCUUUUGGGGUCUGGAAAGAGUGGCUCUGGGGCCUUGGGAGCCAGAGAGGACAGGGGGACCUGGCCCAGGUCACAGCAGACUGUGAGACGGGCGAGGGGUGGGAGCUGGCCGACCCCACCCAAGCGCAAAGGCAGCCCCGGCCCCUUUGCGUCAUGUCUUUUGCAGCCUGAGGAGAGAGCAACUUGACCUAAAAAAAUUGUAUAUAUGUGGGUGUUGGAUCCUUUGUGUGUCUUUGUCCAGAAGCUGUGCAUGUGAUGAGAGCCUAGGUUCUGUACUUCAGAGAACUGUUGUCCUUCAGGUUUGUUUUCAGAAAGAUGUGACGGAUGGGCCGUCCUUGAUGAGACCGCGUGCCCGCUGGGACUGGCCUUCCUCCAGGAUGCUGGGCCCGGCGUGGUGUUUCUUCUGUCAGUGGACGAGAACUCAGAGGAGUUCAGCUCCAUGAGUAGGUGACAAACUCCUGGAGACUCAGCUGACGAUGGUGCUGGUGUGCAGAAGACAGUUGUCAUCCUGUGGGAUAAGUGUGUGCCCGUUUGCAUUCAUUUGGAACAAAAAAAGGAGCUGCCUGGCAGCCUGGCUCUCUGCAGUAAGUAUUUUUUUGCAUUCUUUUAUCCCUUCAAACGUCGGAAGUGGAUAGAUGUUCAUUGAACCUAGCCAGCUGCUGUGCCUUCUGCAUUCUUUCCUGCACAUUGCCGCCCUUGGUCCUCCAGAAGAGAGAACUGGAUCGAUUUCCUCAUGCUGCUGGAGAGCUGCAGAGAGGCUAGAACUCAGUGUUCAGCCCCCGCGCAUCCCCCUCACAUUCAGGAGGUGUCGAUUCUCCCUAAAACAGAGAGCCAAAAGUCCGGGUCCCUCAGAGCAGAGUGUUCACGGGCUGAAUGGAAGGGCCCUGCCUGCGCUCAUUGCCCCCAGCAGGGAGGUGAGGCUCUCCGUUGGCUGGCUGGAGGAGCUGGGGGAGGGGGGUGGGCCUUGCCAGCAUCUAGCAUGGUUCUCUGCCAAGUUCUAGCUCCAGAUCUCUAGGCCGCUAGGAACCUAGACUAUAUAUAGCGUUGUGCUAAGCAGUUCUUAUCAGACGUGUCUGCCCUCCCCUGCGGGAGAGGAGCGCUUCUAUCAGAGAACCAGAACCUGGAAAGUGUGAGCCAUCUCCAUGGGGCCUUUUAUGCUGGGGAGGGUGUGUGUGUGCGCGCCCAUGCACACACGCGUGCAUACGUGUAUCUGUGUAUGUGUGUGUGUGUCUGGUUCAGGGCUGCCAAGCUUUCUCUCCUUCCCCCUAUUUCACAUGCUAGUAGAUUCAGCAUCUUGUGGAGGAGGGCGCUGAUGUAGGCUGAGGGCCAGGAGGGGCUGGUGCUUCUCGAAGGUUCCUGGAUCCUGGGUUUGGAGGAGAGAGGCUGGGCACGUGAUGUGGCUGAAAGCACAGUGUGGCCUCCAGUGUGUCUUCCUGGUUUCCGGUUUGCCCUGCUUUGCCCGAGGAUGUCUUUUGACCUCUCUCUUCCUUCUUUUGAACCUGCUGCCUUCCCUGCCUUCCUCCAGCCCUCCCUCGUCCGUUCUUGGAUUUUCUGUGGGAUAUGUGAGGCAGACCCAGCUAUGGGCAUCCGGGAGCUUGUCUGUUCCCCGCCCUCACCCUCGUUUGGGGCUUCCGGAAGUCUGGCUUGACCGGCACAAGGGGCCAGCUGUCCUCAGAGGAGCUGGUGGUGAACGAGCAUGUCAUGCUGGGAGGUAUAGGGCAGAGUGGGCUGGGUCUUUGCCUCCUCCCUUCCAGAGGUGCUGUUGAGCCCCCAGUUUGUGUGGUUCUGUGACUGCAAGUGCUGGUGGAUGUGACGCCAUCCCAGUCUCGUCGGUGAACCAUCACCACCCUGCUUAUUGGAAACCAGGCGUAGCAAGGAAGAUAGGAUUCAACGCCCUCCUUCCCUGCCUCCCAGCCCGCCUCCAAAAGAAUUUAAUCUGCUGGACAACAAACAAUACUGUUAUAAAACUUUGAAAACAAGAGGGCGCGGCCUCCCUGACAAGGAGAAGGGCAUGCCGGGUAAUGGGCGAGGGAGCCUGCCAGGCCCGAGAUGGAGCCAGGCAAGAGCCCAGUUGGCUGGGCACCUGGGUGCCCGCCCCUGCCCAGCCCACCAGCCGUGCCAUCCCCAGUCCAGAGGGGAAGGAACCGAAACAAAAGUGGGGGCAGCGGAGCUCUUGAAAAGGGGAAGUUGUCCUGAGACUGGCAGACAGAGGUCCUGAUAACAGAAUGAGGCUGGCAUAGCCGUGAAGGUACAGCCACCAGCCUGGCCAGCUGCAGGGGAAGCAGGAGAGAAAGGUGUUCCAAGCUGGCUUUGGACUCCAGACCUACCCUCUGUCUGCCCAGCCUCCCGCCCCCCACCUAGGGAAGUGGAACCAGGUCAUGGGCAUGACCCGGUCCAUGUGCUCUGCCAGGAGCCCUGAAACCAGCAUUCCCAGCGGCAGGAAGAUGGAUGAUCUGGGCUCCACUUCCGGCGCUCCUCCCCCACUCUGGCUGGAACUUGCGUCAGUCAUAUCAAGGAGGCCCUCGGGUUGGGUGCCAGGGAGAGCAAGCUGCUUCCAGCCGCAUGAAAUCACCUGGCUACUUGCAACUAGGGGACAAAAUCAGCAUCUGGUUUCAGCCGUGCAGUGGAGACCACAGAGGCACCAGGGUGCUGGAGAACAAAGCAAGUAUCGAAGCACCGGCUCCUUGCAGAACCAGGCGUGCUCUCAUCUCCACCCAAGUUUAACAUGUACAGUCAGUAAUACCCCCCCAUCUAUGCAGAAAUAUUGCCUAGGACUUCCCUUACCCUCAAUCUUCCUCAUAAUUAAGUUCAAGAACAGAAUGAGACGGUAGUCCAGCUACAGAACAGGAGGCAGUGGGCAGAAGAGUAGGAGCACAGACUUUGGAGUCAGACCUGGAAUCGACACCAUUCACUAGUCAUGGGACUGUGGACAAGUUUUUGAACCACACUGAGGAUCAGUUUCUUCUCCUGCAAAAAAGGGAAUACUACCUACUCCGCAAGACUGUUGCGAGAAUUCAAGAGCACAGCUUGGUGUUCAAAUUUUAUUUCCUUCUCUUCCCUAGAGCAGCACAUGAUGUUAUGUCCAGAGGCAUAAAAAAUCAAAGGGUUUAUCUAGAGUCCUGAAGAAUUGGUAGGGAACCGGAGAGAUACAGAUUCUUCUUUCUCUUGGUUGUGGUAUCAGAGGAAAUACAGACAUAGUUUCUUAGCUUCAAACAACCAAAAAAGAUGGUGCAAGUAGGAGAUGGGAAAUCUAAUUUGAACACCAUUUGCAAACCUAAUUUUCAGGCAGAAUUUGAAAACAACACAAAACAAAACUCCAUUCUUUUAUUAGAGGAUUAUCUACUUAGUAUAAUUAUAAGACACUAAUCUUUUUGUGUCACAGUAGAGAAUAAAUAAGAUUGGCAAUUAACGGGGUCAUAUUUGAAUGUCCUGACCACUCACCUAUGGCUGGGAAGGAGGAGCCCAUGAUCUACGUGACUAGGACACAUGGAAGAGUUGCCCUGGCUCAGGUGAAAUCCACCUUUGUGUAGUGUCUAGAGCCUCACAGGCAGAAAGGGUGCUUGUUUCCUGAUGACGUGAGAUAAUAUCGGAAAAUGCUUUUCACACUGUGAAAUAGUUUACAAAGCAGGGCAAUACUAAUGUAAAUAUUAACCCAGUUUAGUAACAGCUUUGGCUAUUUUAUUUUGUCAUAUAUAUAAUAAUAUGUAGGGACUGGUUAUGGAAUUAAAUAACUUAGAAUUCAUGAGUUUUGUAUUGUGAUUGUCUGUGUAAAUUAUCAGCUUAGACUUUCAUGUUCUUUGAGCAUCACUUUGUAACUCUUCUCUGUGCCUUUCUAAUGGAUCCAUAUAUCAUGUCCCGUCACAAGUGGAACUGCAAGAAGACACCUCUGCUCGGGGCAGAGGCUGGGUCUUCCGAUCGCAUCUCCCUUCUUUCUUCAGUGAGAUCCUCUUCUUCUGGAAGCUGGUUUCACAUGGUGGCUUAGAUUUUUCCAUCUUUGUAUCUAGCACCAUUUGAAAUCAGUGUUUUAGGAGUAAGAAUUGCAGCACAGCAGAAGGCCAACCGCAGAGGAGCUGCUGCUCGUGGGAUCAGCUUCCCUCCUUCUGCCACCUGAGCCGGUUCAAGAAGGGAAGAACUUGAGAAUCAAAGUACACUCUUGAGUGUGUUGGGUUGUGGAGGGGGACAGUGCAGGGAUGGGGUUGUGUUCAAUAGAAACUCAGAGGCUUGAGCAGAGCCAGAGGUUGUGAUUGUCUUUCUGUUGACAGGGAGCGGCAACCCCUAGCAGUAGCCUGUUGGUAAGGCCUUUGAGCACAUGCUUGGGCAAUGCUGGGUUGGGUACUUGAUUGCAAUAGGCAAGGGGGGUGUGUGUGUCCCAGAAGGACUCUCUCAUCACAUCAGCACUGUCCACCUGCUCCUACAUGCCGUGAAACAUUCAGCUGCAGUUGCCGAGCGGCUGAAAUCAGACUUGCCACCUGCACUGUCAAGGUGCCGGACCCCACCGAGCACCACUGGACCCAUCUCUUACACAGGCUGACCGAUUUCUCCUGGUGUUCAGAGUCUGUUUUUGUCUAGCACCAUUUGAAAUCGGUUAUGAUGUAGGGGGAAAAGCAGCAGCCUCGAGGCCUCGUGCCAAGUCUGGUCAGCAACAGCCUGGGGCUUCCUGGAAGAUGGAUGCGCAGAGAGAGGGGGAGGAAGGUUAUGCUUUUUCCUGCUAACUUCUUUAACUACAUCUACAAUACUUUAUGCACGGGUAAUAGAUCAGUUAAUGGAUUUUUAGAAGCAAAUCACUAAAAUUUAUCUGAUGUCCUCGGUUUGCUGAAAUGUGGUAGUGAUGUAAACUAUAAAUUGGUUGCUGUUAAAUUAUCUUUCUGUCAUGCAUCCUGACCUUAAUAAAUGCUUUA
This is a long non-coding RNA of Lagenorhynchus albirostris (white-beaked dolphin), 8975 nucleotides long. RefSeq lists it as uncharacterized. The record is from RefSeq and is a predicted model, not a curated record. The transcript has 8 exons. NCBI's taxonomy places the organism in Eukaryota, Metazoa, Chordata, Mammalia, Artiodactyla, Delphinidae.